Molecule: long non-coding RNA, 280 nt
Organism: Haemorhous mexicanus (house finch)
Lineage: Eukaryota; Metazoa; Chordata; Aves; Passeriformes; Fringillidae
Exons: 2
Source: RefSeq, a predicted model, not a curated record
GCUCCCUGCCGCGCAGCCAAUGGCAGCGCCCCAAGCGGAGCCGGCCAUGGGCGGGCACGGCACGCGGCGGCAGGCGGGGAGCGAGACAGUCUGGGCGGGGGAGGCGGCGGCGCUGAUUGAGCGGUAUUUGGUUUCAGGCCGGCCGGGCUUGAAUCCCCGUACCAGUGAGUAGCUCGUGGUCUUCCAGGGAAAGGGCCGCUGAACAUCCCGCCUGUGAAAAACGCCAAUCACUUGUUUUUAAAAUUUGAAAAGUUUAAUAGUAAUAAAAUGGUUAUAAAAA